UACGGGGGGAGCAAGCGUUGUUCGGAUUUACUGGGCGUAAAGGGCGCGUAGGCGGUCGUGACAAGUCACUUGUGAAAUCUCCGGGCUUAACCCGGAAAGGUCAAGUGAUACUGUCGGACUAGAGUACAGAAGGGGCAACUGGAAUUCUCGGUGUAGCGGUGAAAUGCGUAGAUAUCGAGAGGAACACCUGCGGCGAAGGCGGGUUGCUGGGCUGAUACUGACGCUGAGGCGCGAAAGCUAGGGGAGCGAACGGG
Molecule: ribosomal RNA, 254 nt
Filed under: uncultured bacterium
Lineage: Bacteria
Description: partial 16S ribosomal RNA
Rfam family: Bacterial small subunit ribosomal RNA
Source: RNAcentral